AGGAAUCUGCCUGGUAGUGGGGGACAACGUUUCGAAAGGAACGCUAAUACCGCAUACGUCCUACGGGAGAAAGUGGGGGAUCUUCGGACCUCACGCUAUCAGAUGAGCCUAGGUCGGAUUAGCUAGUUGGUGAGGUAAAGGCUCACCAAGGCGACGAUCCGUAACUGGUCUGAGAGGAUGAUCAGUCACACUGGAACUGAGACACGGUCCAGACUCCUACGGGAGGCAGCAGUGGGGAAUAUUGGACAAUGGGCGAAAGCCUGAUCCAGCCAUGCCGCGUGUGUGAAGAAGGUCUUCGGAUUGUAAAGCACUUUAAGUUGGGAGGAAGGGCAGUAAGNUAAUACCUUGCUGUUUUGACGUUACCGACAGAAUAAGCACCGGCUAACUUCGUGCCAGCAGCCGCGGUAAUACGAAGGGUGCAAGCGUUAAUCGGAAUUACUGGGCGUAAAGCGCGCGUAGGUGGUUCGUUAAGUUGGAUGUGAAAGCCCCCGGGCUCAACCUGGGGAACUGCAUCCAAAACUGGCGAGCUAGAGUAUGGCAGAAGGUGGUGGAAUUU
RNAcentral lists this ribosomal RNA (556 nucleotides) under Stutzerimonas stutzeri. RNAcentral describes it as "bacterial SSU rRNA". It matches the Rfam family "Bacterial small subunit ribosomal RNA", at positions 119 to 669 of the family's 1533-position model. The record is from RNAcentral. Lineage: Bacteria; Pseudomonadati; Pseudomonadota; Gammaproteobacteria; Pseudomonadales; Pseudomonadaceae.